Molecule: small RNA, 526 nt
Filed under: Pongo abelii (Sumatran orangutan)
Lineage: Eukaryota; Metazoa; Chordata; Mammalia; Primates; Hominidae
Description: processed transcript
Source: RNAcentral
AUGGUAUCACAAGAAGGAUCUGAAGUGGAGCUUCUAGUAUCCCCAGGAGCAUGAAGUGAACACGGAAGGUACCUGCAGGAUCCAGUUGUGUCCAUUGAUCUCUCAGAGUGGCUGAGGAUAAUAGAGUUUCUUCUUCAAGGUCUCAAGGUGUAUGGCUCUGUGUAUCACAUCAAUCACGGGAACCCCUUCAACAUGGAGGUGCUGGUGGACUCCUGGCCUGAAUAUCAGAUGGUUAUUAUCCGGCCUCAAAAGCAGGAGAUGACUGAUGACAUGGAUUCAUACACAAACGUAUAUCAUAUAUUCUCCAAAGAACCUCAAAAAUCAGAAGAAGUUUUGAAAAAUUGUGAGAUCAUAAACUGGAAACAGAGACUCCAAAUCCAAGGUUUUCAAGAAAGUUUAGCUGAGGGGAUAAGAGCGGCUACAUUUUCAAAGUCAGUGAAAGUAGAGCAUUCGAGAGCACUCCUCUUGGUUACAGAAGAUAUUCUGAAGCUCAAUGCCUCCAAUAAAAGCAAGCUUGGAAGCUGGG